GAUCCUGGCUCAGGAUGAACGCUGGCGGCGUGCUUAACACAUGCAAGUCGAACGAAGCACUUCAUAAAGUUUACUUUAAGAAGUGACUUAGUGGCGGACGGGUGAGUAACGCGUGGGUAACCUGCCUUACACAGGGGGAUAACAGUUAGAAAUGGCUGCUAAUACCGCAUAAAACAGCAGAGUCGCAUGACUCAACUGUCAAAGAUUUAUCGGUGUAAGAUGGACCCGCAUCUGAUUAG
RNAcentral lists this ribosomal RNA (239 nucleotides) under uncultured bacterium. RNAcentral describes it as "partial 16S ribosomal RNA". It matches the Rfam family "Bacterial small subunit ribosomal RNA", at positions 15 to 244 of the family's 1533-position model. The record is from RNAcentral.